AUCCUCUCAGGAUUGCAUCUGGAGAGUUUCCAGUCUUCUACCGGUCUCUGCUAUGGGAAGGAGAGUCAGGCAGAGGCCCUUCCAUUCCUAGCUUGGGCAGUGUCUGGUGAGUGGAAGGCAAUCUGCUACAAGG
Tachyglossus aculeatus (Australian echidna) is the source of this 133-nucleotide small nucleolar RNA. Lineage: Eukaryota; Metazoa; Chordata; Mammalia; Monotremata; Tachyglossidae. The record is from RefSeq and is a predicted model, not a curated record.